RNAcentral lists this ribosomal RNA (2152 nucleotides) under Stylopallene longicauda. RNAcentral describes it as "eukaryotic LSU rRNA". It matches the Rfam family "Eukaryotic large subunit ribosomal RNA", at positions 100 to 1859 of the family's 3401-position model. Lineage: Eukaryota; Metazoa; Arthropoda; Pycnogonida; Pantopoda; Callipallenidae. The record is from RNAcentral.
GGGAAGAGCCCAUCGCCAAAUUUUGGGGCCCCACAGGCAGGGUCGCGUCGGGGACUUGUGGCGUUUGGGAGAGACGCGUCCUUGCUGCGAUCGGAGCCGUAGGUCCUCCUGACCGGGGCCAAUACCCAUGGAAGGGUGCUAAGGCCCGUAUCGACUCCGAUUCCGCUUGGACGUCCCCUCCCUAGAUUCGGGUUGCUUGGGAGUGCAGCCCUAAUCGGGUGGUAGACUCCACCUAAGGCUAAGUACAGCCGCGAGACCGAUAGCGAACAAGUACCGUGAGGGAAAGUUGCAAAGAACUUUGAAGAGAGAGUUCAAGAGUACGUGAAACCGCCUAGAGGCAAACGGGUGGGCCCUCGAAGCCCAGGCGGGACGGAAUCAGCUUGGUGGUCGUCGACGAAGGAUGCCGGGUGCGGAUCCCUACAGGGACUCGCUCGGCGUUCGUAUCGUUCGAUCCCUGGUGCAUUUCCGCUCCCGUCCGCUUUCUCGUCAAAAGGGAAAGUUGGGUCGCCGCGACCGUCGGUGUUUGCUGGCGUCCAGCCGAGCGUCAAGUCGGCGCCGGCGUCGUCUCUUCGGGGAUGGCGUCGGCGUUUUGCAGGACGAUUCGGUCUCCGUUGGGCGCACGGCAUUUCCGGCGUGUGGUAGAAACGUUUGUGCGCGCCCCCGUUCAUCGGGCGAGCCCGUUCGACGGUCGACCAGCCUUUCCGCAGUCUCACUCGUCCAAAGCGAGGUGGCAGCGGAGCUGUCGGCCGUCUCGCGAGGAUUCUCGCACGCAAGGGGCGCGUCGUUCGGCGGCGCAGUAGGUCGGUAGCCCACCCGCCCCGUCUUGAAGCACGGACCAAGGAGUCUGACAUGUGCGCAAGCCGUCGCGCAACUGAAGCGCCGAAGGCACAGUGAAAGCAUUGGUCGGCGUUAUUCGCCGGCCGUAGUUGGGAUCCCCGGAGCCUCCGUCGCUCGCAGGGGCGCACCAACCGUCCGCCUACUCAGUCUUGUUCUGUGUGGCGGAACGUGAGCGGACACGUCGGGACCCGAAAGGUGGUGAACUAUGCCUGGGCAGGACGAAGCCAGAGGAAACUCUGGUGGAGGUCCGUAGCGAUUCUGACGUGCAAAUCGAUCGUCGGACCUGGGUAUAGGGGCGAAAGACUAAUCGAACCUCCUAGUAGCUGGUUCCCCCCGAAGUUUCCCUCAGGAUAGCUGGCGCUCGUCUUGACAAAGCAGUCUCAUCCGGUAAAGCGAAUGAUUAGAGGCCUUGGGGUCGAAACGACCUCAACCUAUUCUCAAACUUUCAAUGGGUGAGAAGUCCGGCUUGCUUGAGUGAAGCCCGGACGAAGGAUGCGAGUGCCUAGUGGGCCACUUUUGGUAAGCAGAACUGGCGCUGUGGGAUGAACCAAAAGCCGAGUUACGGCGCCCGAUGCAGACGCUUAUGAGAUCCCAUGAAAGGCGUUGGUUGCUAUAGACAGCAGGACGGUGGCCAUGGAAGUCGGAAUCCGCCAAGGAGUGUGUAACAACUCACCUGCCGAAGCAACUAGCCCUGAAAAUGGAUGGCGCUCCAGCGUCGAGCCUACACUCGGUCGUUGGGACAGAAGCGGCUGGCGGCGGCGGUCUCGUCGUCGUCGUCGCAACCAGGUCCCAACGAGUAGGGGGGUCGCAGCGGUGUGCGCGGAAGGUGCCGGGCGCGAGCCCGUCCCGAGCCGCCGCUGGUGCAGAUCUUGGUGGUAGUAGCAAAUACUCGAGUGAGAAUCUUGAGGGCCGAAGUGGAGAAGGGUUCCAUGUGAACAGCAGUUGAACAUGGGUCAGUCGGUCCUAAGGGAUAGGACAAGUCCGUUCGAAAGCGAGCGUAUGUGAACACUACUAAGCUCGCCGACGACCGAAAGGGAAUCGGGUUAACAUUCCCGAACCCGGAUGCGGAGACCGACCCUUCGGGGUCUCGUGCGGCAACGCAAACCUACUGGGAGACGUCGGCAGGGGUCCCGGGAAGAGUUGUCUUUUCUUCGUAAGGGACUGACUCCCUGGAAUCGGCUUGCCCGGAGAUAGGGACGAGGUUAAGUUCCCGUAAAGCACCGCGGCUCUUGCGGUGUCCGGUGCACCCCUGUCGGCCCUUGAAAAUCCCAGGAGGACGUCGUGAUUUUCGCGCCGGACCGUACCCAUACCGCAG